This 817-nucleotide long non-coding RNA is filed under the name Lactuca sativa (garden lettuce). RNAcentral describes it as "long non-coding RNA (LSAT_LNC000036)". Lineage: Eukaryota; Viridiplantae; Streptophyta; Magnoliopsida; Asterales; Asteraceae. The record is from RNAcentral.
GUCCACGAAAAUUUCUAGAUGUAGGUAAGGUGCUGAAGAAUUGAUGGUGAAAAUCUCCCUAGUAGUAUUUUUGCUGUGUUGUGCUCGGUUUUUUGUUUUCUAACAUGAAGAUUCUGAACUUGGAAACAGAAAUCUCUCUGGAUAGCCGAUUCUCUCUCGCGUCUCUUUGGGGUUUCCCAUGGUCAAAAUCGUCCACGAAAAUUUCUAGGUGUAGGUAAGGUCCUGAAGAAUUGAUGGUGAAAAUCUCCCUAGUCUUUUUGUGCUUGUACUGAGCCCAGUUUUCUUCGUUUCUGACUUGAAGAUUCUAAUGUCGAAAAACAGAAAGGUGGUGAUGGUUGUGGUUAUUUCGAAGGGUUUUUGGAGGAGGUUUAAGGAGGGUUUUUGGAGGGUGUUUGGAGAGUAUUUUGAGGUUGUUUGGAAGGUAUUUGGAGGUUGUUUUAGUUGUUCUUGAAGGUUGAAGUUGCAAAAGUUGUUCUUGAAGAUUGAAGUUGCAAGAGUUGUUCUUGAAGAGGGAGGUGGUAUUCUUGGUUGGGAGAGUUUUUUUGUGUAUGGAGAUGUAGCUGGAGGUAUUACAAAAAAAAGAACACACACUUUCAAACCAUAUACAUGCACACGUAUAUAUGGUGAAGCAAAAGAAAAAUAUCUAAGGUACUUUAACUUUGAGUUGGUUAGAAGAUGUAGUUGUGAUAUCCAAGUGCUAGUAGGUGUAGGAAGCGCAAGUGGUACUAGGAGUAGGAUACGUGAGUUUCUUCUUCCCUUUCUUGACUUUUCCACAUACAAAUAUAAUACAUAUAUAUAUAUAUAUAUAUAUAUAUAU